UUUUUGCAAGCUGGCGGCGUGCCNUAAUAAUGCAAGUACAACGCUGAAGUCUGGUGCUUGCACCGGAUGGAUGAGUUGCGAACGGGUGAGUAACGCGUAGGUAACCUGCCUGGUAGCGGGGGAUAACUAUUGGGAACGAUAGCUAAUACCGCAUAAUAGCUUUUCUCGCAUGAGAGGAGCUUGAAAGAAACAAUUGUUUCACUAUCAGAUGGACCUGCGUUGCAUUAGCUAGUUGGUGGGGUAACGGCUCACCAAGGCGACGAUGCAUAGCCGACCUGAGAGGGUGAUCGGCCACACUGGGACUGAGACACGGCCCAGACUCCUACGGGAGGCAGCAGUAGGGAAUCUUCGGCAAUGGGGGCAACCCUGACCGAGCAACGCCGCGUGAGUGAAGAAGGUUUUCGGAUCGUAAAGCUCUGUUGUAAGUCAAGAAUAGGUGUGGGAGUGGAAAGUCCACACUAUGACGGUAGCUUACCAGAAAGGGACGGCUAACUACGUGCCAGCAGCCGCGGUAAU
RNAcentral lists this ribosomal RNA (516 nucleotides) under uncultured bacterium. RNAcentral's name for it is "bacterial SSU rRNA". It matches the Rfam family "Bacterial small subunit ribosomal RNA", at positions 35 to 524 of the family's 1533-position model. The record is from RNAcentral.